GCUCCUAUAGCUCAGUUGGCAGAGCGUACGUCUCAUAAUCCGAACCAUCAGCAAGCGUAAGGCCGGCAGUUCGAUCCUGUCUGGGAGCA
Molecule: transfer RNA, 89 nt
Filed under: Fistulifera solaris
Lineage: Eukaryota; Bacillariophyta; Bacillariophyceae; Naviculales; Stauroneidaceae
Rfam family: tRNA
About the family: Transfer RNA (tRNA) molecules are approximately 80 nucleotides in length. Their secondary structure includes four short double-helical elements and three loops (D, anti-codon, and T loops).
Source: Rfam by way of RNAcentral